RNAcentral lists this long non-coding RNA (2743 nucleotides) under Olea europaea (common olive). RNAcentral's name for it is "long non-coding RNA (OEUR_LNC008085)". The record is from RNAcentral. Lineage: Eukaryota; Viridiplantae; Streptophyta; Magnoliopsida; Lamiales; Oleaceae.
AAUGUAUUUUGCUUGCCAUCCCUGGAAAAAGGUAAACUGAACAAGUCUCGUAUUGGAAUAGAGCAGAGACUGAAUUUGUUGAGAUAUUCCAUUAAUGAAGCGGGCCAAGUUUAUAGUCUAUACUGGACUUGGAGCUGUAAAUUCACCUCCCCAUUUUGGCAUUUUCAAGUUCUCAUCCACUUUCUGCAGCAACCGUCUUGUAUAUAUGUACUGCAAAGAUAAUCUUGUCCAAUAAGUACCCUGGUGCUAAAUUUAUGGUAGUGUUUGCAAAAACAUAUUUUUAAUCAAUUUCCAUUUGGUUUGGGCAAUUGAAAAGUUCAGUCACAGGAUCUUGUUCUUGCUAAUCUAUAAUGGUCUUUUUCAUUAAUCGUUUGGGCACUUAUUUAUCAAUGUUCUUUAUUGGUAUUAUAAAGGUUGAACUCCAACCUUAAGGGUCUCCCACCACCCCCGCCCUGGAGCAUCGUGAGGGAGGUAAAUCGCAAGUUAUACCAAUCAAUGUUCUUUAUUGGUAUUAUAGCUCUCAUAAAGAGGUGGUUCGUGUCACCAUGUACCUAGAAAUAAAUACUCGGCUCAACGUGUUUGGUCCAGACACUGCAUUGAUUUCCAAGUUCUUUCACCUCCAUCCCCAGAUUUUCAAUCUGAACUUCACAUCACAUGGUAACUAAUGUUGGACGCUGGACUUCGACCAAAUAUUAAGGUGGGACAUGUUAACUAUGUGAUUUGCGACCUCCUCGUGAUUGUAGUUGAAAAUAGUUGAAAAUGGAAUUGUGUAAUAGUGGAUCUCAAGAUACGACUAGUCUUUGAAAAAGGAGAUGAUCUGCUAAUCGGAUUAUGUACAAGAUAGAACAAUUUACUGAAUUGUACACUGCAAAAUUCUUCAAUUUCAUGAAGUUUCAAUUUUCAUUGUAUAUGCAAAUAGAUUCAAGAUUCCUUUUAAAAUUCUGGAUGACGUUAGGUACCAAACUGAUUUUAGUACAUCUAUUCAUCCCCGAAAUCGAUGGACAAUCAAAAUGAACCAUACAUGUGCUGUAGGAUAUUUUACUAGCCUGCUUUAUGGAUUUUCAAGUAAAAUUGGCAUUAGAAUUCUCGUAUAACACCAAUUGUCAUUUAUCUAUCGAUAUACCUUUAUUCGGAGUAUUAUGUGGGAGAUGGUGUUAUUCACCUCCAUAUUAGAUCGAGGUUGGAGACUUCAAUUGGUAGGCCUCGAAAUUGUUCAAGACGUGCUCAUAGCUGCAAAAUGAUGAUGAUAAAAUCCAACAUUGAAUGUCAAAUGCAAGACCAAGUGUGUGUGAAAAAUUGAAAAAAAAAAAACUAUGUGAUUUGGAAAGAUACGAAAAUUUAGCCCCAUAUUUAUAGAUGUUUCAAAAUUUCAUAAAAAAUAAAACUCGCUGUCUAACGAUUAAAGUUACCCAAUUGGAUGGUCGAGUGCACAAUAUAUUUCACAUUUCAAUUUUGUGAAGACCAUGCCCGAUCCAUCUCAUGCACUAAAAUUAGUUUUUAGGAGUUACACCGAAUCCAACUUUUGAAGAAGUACAAGUCGAACCUCGUUUUAGAAAAUUGAACAAUUCCAAUAUAAAUCGAUCCACUAGUCAAAAGUUUUAUGGAGGAACAAAGCAGUCAAAGAAGCAAUGUGAUAACAUGAACUAGAAACAAAAUAAAAAAUAUCCAGAACCGUUUAGGUAAAUUUUAAAAAAUGUAAUUUUAAUGAAAGGAGAUCCUAAUGCCUCAUUAUUUUGGCUCAUUGAAGUUAGUCAAUUUAUAUGUAUAUUCUUAAAUAUGUAAAUUUUAGUCGAGUUGGGUAUUGAAACUUUGUAAUUACUAGAACAAAGGCAAUACGAGGGAACGCCUAUUUUUAGCAAUUAGAAAAUAUGGUUUUUUGUAAAUCAUGUCCAAGUUUGAGGCUGAAAAGAAAAAGAAAAAAAAAAUAUUUUAUGAACUAAAACGUAAACAAAAUUGAGUGGCUAAAAUGCAUAAGAAUAAAAUAAGUGGUGCAUUGUGCAAUUCCUGAGCCAAGCUCACAGUUAAAACCUAUUGAUUACCGGGCAACUUACAAAAAUACCCUUAAAAUUUGGAAUGUUUUGAAAAAUCAUAUGAAACAUUUUUUGAAAGUAAAAAAUACUAUGUAAAAUGAAAAAGUGACACAAUGUCACUUUUUUUUAUAAAAAUUGUCACUUUUCUGACACAAUUCAAAAAAAUAUGACAUAAAUUUAAAAAAGUGACAAACACUCCAAAAGUAACAAAAUUGAAAAAAAAAGUGAUACAAAUUCAAAAAAAUAAACUAACAAACACUAAAAUAAUAUCAUCCAUUUGUGCAAUACCAGUAAUUAUUUUCUUAACAUAAUUAGUGUGUCGAGGAUUCAAUAUCAAAAAAUGUAUUUUGCUUGCCAUCCCUGGAAAAAGGUAAACUGAACAAGUCUCGUAUUGGAAUAGAGCAGAGACUGAAUUUGUUGAGAUAUUCCAUUAAUGAAGGGUUCCAAGUUUAUAGUCUAUACUGGACUUGGAGCUGUAAAUUCACCUCCCCAUUUUGGCAUUUUCAAGUUCUCAUCCACUUUCUGCAGCAACCGUCUUGUAUAUAUGUACUGCAAAGAUAAUCUUGUCCAAUAAGUACCCUGGUGCUAAAUUUAUGGUAGUGUUUGCAAAAACAUAUUUUUAAUCAAUUUCCAUUUGGUUUGGGCAAUUGAAAAGUUCAGUCACAGGAUCUUGUUCUUGCUAAUCUAUAAUGGUCUUUUUCAUUAAUCGUUUG